UAACAUAUAUAAAAUUGAGAAUGGAAAUGGGGAAUGUGUCAAAGAGACAACAACCCGACCAAAUAAAAAACAACAGCAGAGGGUCACCAACAGGUCUUCAAUGUAGCGAGAAAUUCCCGCACCCGGAGGCGUCCUUCAGCUGGCCCCCAAACAAAUAUAUACUAGUCCAGUGAUAAUGAACGCCAUACUAAUUUCCAAAUUGUACACAAGAAACUAAAAUUAAAAUAAUACAAGACUAACAAAGGCCAGAGGCUCCUGACUUGGGACAGGCGCAAAAAUGCGGCGGGGUUAAACAUGUUUGUGAGAUCUCAACCCUCCCCCUAUACCUCUAACCAAUGUAGUAAAGUAAACGAAUAACAAUACGCACA
RNAcentral lists this long non-coding RNA (368 nucleotides) under Mytilus galloprovincialis (Mediterranean mussel). Lineage: Eukaryota; Metazoa; Mollusca; Bivalvia; Mytilida; Mytilidae. The record is from RNAcentral.